Molecule: ribosomal RNA, 30 nt
Filed under: Clonostachys rosea
Lineage: Eukaryota; Fungi; Ascomycota; Sordariomycetes; Hypocreales; Bionectriaceae
Also listed under: 1 other name
Description: partial 18S ribosomal RNA
Source: RNAcentral
UCUCCGUUGGUGACCAGCGGAGGGAUCAUU